UACAGAGGGUGCGAGCGUUAAUCGGAAUUACUGGGCGUAAAGCGCACGUAGGUGGCUUUGCAAGUCGAUUGUGAAAGCCCCGGGCUUAACCUGGGAAUGGCAUUUGGGACUGCAAGGCUGGAGUACGGCAGAGGGAGGUGGAAUUCCAGGUGUAGCAGUGAAAUGCGUAGAUAUCUGGAGGAACACCGAUGGCGAAGGCAGCCUCCUGGGCUAGUACUGACGCUCAUGCACGAAAGCGUGGGGAGCAAACAGG
Molecule: ribosomal RNA, 253 nt
Filed under: uncultured bacterium
Lineage: Bacteria
Description: partial 16S ribosomal RNA
Rfam family: Bacterial small subunit ribosomal RNA
Source: RNAcentral